AGCUCUGUCAGCGUAUAUCAAAGUUGUUGCAGUUAAAACGCUCGUAGUCGAAUCUUGGCUGAACUUACGCGGAGUCCGCAAGGAUUCUGCGGUUGAGGAAAGCCUUUGUGGAUUGUGUGCGCGGAGGUGUUUUAUUACACUUCCGUUGUACUGCCACCGUUUACUGUGAAAAUUAGAGUUUUCAAAGCAAGCGAUUUGCCCUGAAUACGUUAGCAUGGAAUAAUAGCAUAGAACCUGGUCUUUUUUUGUUGGUUUGUAUAAUUUCAGGUAAUGAUUAACAGGGACGGUUGGGGGCAUUUGUAUUCCGAGGCAAGAGGUGAAAUUCUUAGACCCUCGGAAGACAAACAGCUGCGAAAGCGUUUGCCAAGGACGUUUUCAUUGAUCAAGAACGAAAGUACGC
This 400-nucleotide ribosomal RNA is filed under the name phytoplankton environmental sample. Its description in RNAcentral is "partial small subunit ribosomal RNA". It matches the Rfam family "Eukaryotic small subunit ribosomal RNA", at positions 587 to 994 of the family's 1831-position model. The record is from RNAcentral.